RNAcentral lists this ribosomal RNA (460 nucleotides) under uncultured bacterium. RNAcentral's name for it is "partial 16S ribosomal RNA". It matches the Rfam family "Bacterial small subunit ribosomal RNA", at positions 338 to 795 of the family's 1533-position model. The record is from RNAcentral.
CCUACGGGAGGCAGCAGUGAGGAAUAUUGGUCAAUGGGCGCGAGCCUGAACCAGCCAAGUAGCGUGAAGGAUGACUGCCCUACGGGUUGUAAACUUCUUUUAUAAAGGAAUAAAGUGAGGCACGUGUGCCUUUUUGUAUGUACUUUAUGAAUAAGGAUCGGCUAACUCCGUGCCAGCAGCCGCGGUAAUACGGAGGAUCCGCGCUUUAUCCGGAUUUAUUGUGUUUAAAGGGAGCGUAGAUGGGUUGUUAAGUCAGUUGUGAAAGUUGGAGGCGCAACCGUAAAAUUGCAAUUGAUACUGGCAGUCUUGAGUACAGUUGAGGUAGGCGGAAUUCGUGGUGUAGCGGUGAAAUGCUUAGAUAUCACGAAGAACUCCGAUUGCGAAGGCAGCUUACUAAACUGCCACUGACAUUGAUGCUCGAAAGUAUGGGUAUCAAACAGGAUUAGAUACCCCAGUAGUC